This 1456-nucleotide long non-coding RNA is filed under the name Piliocolobus tephrosceles (Ugandan red Colobus). RNAcentral describes it as "lncRNA (ENSPTEG00000001760.1)". The record is from RNAcentral. Lineage: Eukaryota; Metazoa; Chordata; Mammalia; Primates; Cercopithecidae.
UCGCUUUUAUCAAUACAUAAAAAUGAUAUUAUGACCAUAUCUAAAUCCUUUAUAAAAUAUAAUUUUUUAAAUACAAACUUAUUAAUAUUACAAUUGUAUAUAUGUAAUCAUACCGAAUACACACAUUUACAAAACAUUAACACAUUAUAUCAUUUAUCCACUUUGUGCGGGCAUUAUAAAUUUAUAAAUGAAAGUUAUUCAUUUGCUUCCUUUUCGAACUUAUUAAAAAAAGAUAUAUUUUUAAAUAACGACAGUAAUGACAAUAAUGAAAACAAUAAUAUUAUGCUUUUUUUAAAGACGUAUUAUAUUAUUUGUAAAACAUAUGAUCACCUGUUUGAUUUAAAUCUUUACAAUUUUAUUUUAAAUAAUUAUAAAUACAAAUCAGACAAAACAGGAAAAUCAGACAAAACAGACAAAACAGACAAAACAGACAAAAUAAACGGACAUGAACAAUAUGUAUCGUCAGAAGAGGUACAGUCAGGUUAUAUCUUACCAAACGAAAAAAAAAGGAAACUAGCUUUUAAAAAAAAUGUCAUAAAAGAUGGAACACGCACUGAACCAUGUAACGAUGAACAAAAGAGUGUCAAUAGUGUCAAUAGUGAUAAUAGUUCCACUAAGAGAAAAUACAACAGCAGUAACAUAAAUAAUGACACUUUUCCAUCAAUAAAUAUUUUCCCAUUUAAUAACAAUACCGAAAUAAAUUUAAAAAAACAUAAUAUAAAUNNNNNNNNNNACAACGACAAUAUAGACAGAUCGCUUUUAUCAAUACAUAAAAAUGAUAUUAUGACCAUAUCUAAAUCCUUUAUAAAAUAUAAUUUUUUAAAUACAAACUUAUUAAUAUUACAAUUGUAUAUAUGUAAUCAUACCGAAUACACACAUUUACAAAACAUUAACACAUUAUAUCAUUUAUCCACUUUGUGCGGGCAUUAUAAAUUUAUAAAUGAAAGUUAUUCAUUUGCUUCCUUUUCGAACUUAUUAAAAAAAGAUAUAUUUUUAAAUAACGACAGUAAUGACAAUAAUGAAAACAAUAAUAUUAUGCUUUUUUUAAAGACGUAUUAUAUUAUUUGUAAAACAUAUGAUCACCUGUUUGAUUUAAAUCUUUACAAUUUUAUUUUAAAUAAUUAUAAAUACAAAUCAGACAAAACAGGAAAAUCAGACAAAACAGACAAAACAGACAAAACAGACAAAAUAAACGGACAUGAACAAUAUGUAUCGUCAGAAGAGGUACAGUCAGGUUAUAUCUUACCAAACGAAAAAAAAAGGAAACUAGCUUUUAAAAAAAAUGUCAUAAAAGAUGGAACACGCACUGAACCAUGUAACGAUGAACAAAAGAGUGUCAAUAGUGUCAAUAGUGAUAAUAGUUCCACUAAGAGAAAAUACAACAGCAGUAACAUAAAUAAUGACACUUUUCCAUCAAUAAAUAUUUUCCCAUUUAAUAACAAUACCGAAAUAAAUU